AUGAACGCUAGCGGCAGGCUAAUACAUGCAAGUUGAGGGGCAGCAUGAUAUACGCGAGUAUAUUGAUGGCGACCGGCGGACGGGUGAGUAAUAGGUAGGAGACCUACCUCAUACAGGGGGAUAGCAUAGAGAAAUCUGUGGUAAUACCCCAUGAGGUUAUAUGAAUAGAGGCAUAUAAUCAAAGCAUAAGCGAUUAUGCGGUAUGAGAGGGGCCUACUGACCAUUAGCUAGUUGGUGAGGUAAGGGCUCACCAAGGCGAAGAUGGUUAGGGGUUUUGAGAGAGAGACCCCCCACAUUGGAACUGAGAGACGGUCCAGACUCCUACGGGAGGCAGCAGUAGGGAAUAUUGGGCAAUGGGCGAAAGCCUGACCCAGCCAUGCCGCGUGAAGGAAGACGGCCUUAUGGGUUGUAAACUUCUUUACUACGCGAAUAGAGGUUAGUACGAGAUACUAAUAGGAAGGUAGUGUAGUAAAAAGCACCGGCUAACUCCGUG
RNAcentral lists this ribosomal RNA (493 nucleotides) under uncultured bacterium. RNAcentral describes it as "bacterial SSU rRNA". It matches the Rfam family "Bacterial small subunit ribosomal RNA", at positions 30 to 507 of the family's 1533-position model. The record is from RNAcentral.